RNAcentral lists this long non-coding RNA (4969 nucleotides) under Zea mays. RNAcentral's name for it is "long non-coding RNA (ZMAY_LNC002388)". Lineage: Eukaryota; Viridiplantae; Streptophyta; Magnoliopsida; Poales; Poaceae. The record is from RNAcentral.
AAAGCAUGAAGGAGAUCUGACUGAUGGCUUGGGGUCGCGGUGGUCCGCUACACCUGAAUCACGCCAUCGAAGUCGUUCGAACCCGGCAUGUGCUCGAGUAGGGGUCGUCGGGUACACUGAGUGCGUCUAGGACCUCUUUGUGUGAGCUCGGUGUCCAGAGAGCUCGUCGCCAUGAAAAUUGAGAUGGAUCGCCGCCGCGAAUCUAUGCCUAGCGUGGUCGGGUUCCGUCGCGCCCUAGACUCCGGUAUGAAUUCGUCUCUGACACUCAUCAUCUUCCGUAGGGCGCUUAUGGCACGUGCGGUUUUUGAGUUUGGGCACGGGGCGUCGGCUUUGCCAAUCACUAGCGAAGACGCCGCCAUGGGCGAAGUCCCCUAUGUGGUCGUGCCCUGUAUCGGGGGAAAGAAGAAUGCGUCGUAGCCGUCAGAUCUCGGAGGGGUGGCUGCGAUUAGAAAGCGUAAACCCCUUCACGUGAUUUGAUCUGAGUCGUCGAUCUAGAUCGGGCGGUUCUAAUUUGAUGAAGGAUAAAUUAAAUCUACGCCAUCAAUCCUUGAUAUAACGACUUUGCCUGUGUACCGGUUUGGAUUGGGCUAGAUCUAAUAUGGGCCCUCGGCUUUUGAUCGGACGACCCUGAUUGACUCGUACCCCUUCGUCGAGGCAAACUUUCUAAAGAGCCCCUGACUUUAUUGAGAAUAAACCCGCAGUCCACACUGGGGGAAGCCUGAGUCUUAGGGAAAUUGUGAUUUAGGCCCAUGUGUUUCUCUGUUUAGUAAUGAAAAAUGAAUUAAAAUUAUUCAUCUAAAUUAAUCUAUACCAUGUACUCAAUAACUCCAGAAAUUCAUAACUCAAUAAUCGUAACUCCGUUUUGAUCAAUUCUAGUUGCAUUAGUCUCACAAUAAUAUUUAUUAUUAUCUGGUAACUUUGUUUUGUCAUGAAAUAUAGGUUAAAAUUUUGCACUUAGUCUAUUCUAUAUUAACCACGUGGAUCUUCUGAAAACCAUAACUUCAUAACCGUAACCCCGAAUUUAGUGGUUCUCGAACCCACGAUCUUGUAGUGACGCGUAGAUUAUUAUCACGCAGUUUAUUCUUACGUUUGGUGUGAUGUUAAUUUUGCCUAUGCCAUGUUUGUCCGUAUUGCUACGUUUAGUAGUGACGACACGAGCCACCUGAAGAGCAAGUUGGUACCUGGAAUUUGAGGUCCCAGGAAAGUUGUGCCCUUGAUCACUUCUUUUUACCCUGUCAUGUUCUGAUUAAUCAUAAUGAUCUACAUAGGUUAAUUUUGGUGGGACCCAAUAGGUCACCCUAGUUUGACUAUCUUUAUACCUUGUUUUCCACUGAAUUUUUGGGUAGUACCUGCUAUUUCUUUAUGUGGUUUUGGGUAUAGAGAUACACAUUAUUCAUGAUUAUACUUUUAUUAUCAGUUGCAAUUUAUUGUUCAUGUUAAGAUCAUUAUGUUAAUUGGAACAUGGAGAACCACACGGGAAAACAAUGCUACCACAAAGGUGGUAUGGGACGCCCUUGGCUGACUAAUUAGGAAAGCUAGUGGAGGACUACCUUACCCAAAAGAGGCAAGGGCCAUAGGGGAGUGGUCAGUGUAGGGGGUCCUUGGGUUGAUUUUGCUGCGAUGGCGGUCAGGCGAGGGAUCCCUACAUUGGAGCUUCCUACAAACUAUAGCGGGUUUUCUGAAGCUAGUGGAACUUUGUAAAGGCAUCGUAGUGUUACCCUGUCUCGCCUCCUCGGUAGAGGUGUAUGGGAUUGGCCUUCUCUUGGCAGAUGGGUAACAUGACUUGUGGGUAAAGAUGCGCAACCUCUGCAGAGUGUAAAACUGGUAUACUAGCCAUGCUCACAGUCAUGAGCAGCUCGGACACUCACAUGAUUAAUUUAUGGAACUAAAUUCAAUUUGUCAUAUGCAUUGCAUUGAGGCUGUUGUUAUUACUUUUGUUCUACUACUUAAUUGGGUUGGUAUUUACUUAUACUUAGUAACUGCUAAUAAAAUUUUGACCAACUUUAAAAGCAAUGCUCACCUCCAACCAUCCUCUUUGGUAAGCCUUACACUUCACGUGAGCUCCCACCUUUGGCGAGUUCAUGCACAUUAUUCCCCACAACUUGUUGAGCUAUGAACGUAUGUGAGCUCACUCUUGCUGUCUCACACCCCGCACAGGUCAAGAACUGGUACCACAGGAUGAGGCGCAUGGAGGAUGCUGUGACGUGUUCGUGAGAGGUUUAGGUCGUCGUCUCCCAGUCAACUUUGGGUUGCUGGAUCGUUGUCUCCUUAUGAUGUAAUUAUUUAUUUAUUUUAUACAGAACUCAUAUUAUAUAGUAAAGAUGUGACAUUCGUUUCUGUACCACUAUUCAUCAUAUGUGUGAGACUUGGUCCCAGCACACCUGGUGUUUAUUUCGCGCCCGGGUUUUGGACCCCUAAAACCCGGGUGUGACAUAAGUUGUAUCAGAGCGAUGUUGACUGUAAGACAAAACCUAGAUAGAACUGGACAACCAUUAUAUACUUACCUUUGCUACUCUAAUCCUUUCUAAACUUUUCUUAAUCUCUUACUCUGAUUACUCUUACCUUUUCUUUCUAAAAUACAAAUGUGGAUUUCACACUUUGAAAUCCCGUGCCUAAAGUGACCUUUAGGAAUAGGAGACCUACUCUUAGGAACAAAAACAAAACUAUUUUUAUAGGUACCUAUACGCUUGAAUAUUUGUUCUUAUGAUAUUUGUCUGAUUUGGAUCUUUGAUUGAGUGUGAUGGGUUGUGGAGUAAUGUCCACAAUUACAUCUGCAUAUACAUAUAGGAAAAUAUGCUUACAAAAAUAACUAGACAAACUAGAUUAUCCCUCAUUAAAGUAUCUACCCUAACAAUAUCCAUCUCAUCUUAAAAGAUUCUAUUCUACACUCAUAGAUCCGUCUCAUCUCAAAAGAUCCUAACUAUCCUAAUUAACAUAUAUCUAGCUUAAUAGAUCCAUCUUAUCUUAAAAGAUACUCUAUUACCUUAGUAGAUUCAUCUUAUCUUGAAGAGAUUUUAUGUCAUCCUAAUAGAUCUAACUGACCGCAAAAGAUUUUACCUUAUCCUUAUGGAUUCAUCUUUCCCUAAUUCGCAUAUUAUCCCACUCUAGAAUAACAACCAUGAGCUAAACCAAAAUUUAUUUAGAUCUUAUCUAGUCUAAAAUAGUCAUAUCAAUCUAUUCUAGAUCUGAUCCAAUAGGUUAAUCUAACCUAACGAAGGCUAACCUCAAGUUGAGCUAAUCUAAUGUGGUCUACUUAAAUAGAUUAGAGAUACUGGUAGAAGAGAUUAGUCCCUACUAGCCAGGUGUUAGUGACCAACUCAACCAUGACUAAAAGAGCUAACCCAACCAAUACAGACAUGAUGAAUUGUAUAAUCUAUCUAUCCCCACCUAACAUCAAACAAACUUUUGACCUACAUCAUGUAGUCUAUCUCCUCCAUAUCUGUUUUAACCAUAUUCACCAACCCCGAUGAUAUACACUAACCUCAAAUCAAUGAGACCAAGAUCGGAGAAGGAAAGAUCGACAUCGACAAGGAAGGAUAUAAUGGUCAAAGUAAAUCUCGAGAUGAAUCAAGACUUAAACAUAUUGGAUAAAUUCUUUUCCUUGACAUAAUCUUUCUUACCUCAACAUGUCCAGCUUAUAUCCUACAUAAUAUGUAGCUGGAUACCUAUGCUCUCCUAAUCACCCACUAAUGACUAUAAAAAAAGAGACUCUAGAAGUUUGAACCAAUUAAAGACUAAAAGUUGAAUUACAAACCAAUCUUUAUGUAUCCCUUUCCUUACAAAUCUGGAGGACGAGAUUUAUGUUAAGGGGGUAGGAUUUGUAAAGCCCAAAAUUGGUAUAAGAAAAAAAUAAUAAAAAAAUGAAUAAAAAUUUUUAUAAGUGAGCAUUUUGGGGGAAUUCCUUGAAUUCUUUUUUUAUUUUUUUGCAUACUUAACUAAUGGCAUUAAAUUAUGCAAAUAACAAAUAAACAAAUAAAUGAAAUAAUAUGAAUAGUGCAUCACAUAUUGGAUUUUGAUUGUACUUUUAUUUUUGAAAAUUAAAUGUGAAACCAGAGUCAAAUUUGAAUUGAAACACAAAAUUGAUUUGGGAAUAUCUAUGAUGCAUUAGAAAAUGACUCUUAACAAUAAUAUCUCUUGUUAAUAGAUACAAAACUAAACUAUGCUGCAUGCUGGGAAUUUUGAAUGCACAUAUAGUUCUGGUUGAGACUUAAACUCAUAUUUGAAAUCCAAAAGCAGAUUUGAAUAUAGCAAUUAAAAAUAGAAAAGAAAUAGAGAAAAGGAUUUCCUGCUGACGUUGGGCCAAAACCACCAGCCCGACCCAACACCAUGCGCACGCAGAAGCCUAGCCCCUCACCCUUUCCUUUUUGUCAAUGGCGCGUGGGCCCCGUCUUCCAGUAAAAGCUAUCCCCUCCCCUAUCCAAUGUUCACGCGUACACCAUGUAUGGCGUGUGGGCCAACCCUGUCUGGUGCUUCCCCUAGCUUCGGCCGUUGCAAACCGCCCCAACAAAUCCGCGUCCAAGUUGCUGGAAUCUCUCCCCGGUCGGGCUCAGCAAUAGAGUAUAAAACCUGAACCCUGCACCCUUGAAGCGCCCAACCCGCCAUAUUCAAGAGCCCUCAUCGAAAGCAUGAAGGAGAUCUGACUGAUGGCUUGGGGUCGCGGUGGUCCGCUACACCUGAAUCACACCAUCGAAGUCGUUCGAACCCGGCAUGUGCUCGAGUAGGGGUCGUCGGGUACACUGAGUGUGUCCAGGACCUCUUCGUGCAAGCUCGAUGAUCGGAGAGCUCGUCGCCAUGAAAACUGAGAUGGAUCGCCGCCGUGAAUCUAUGCCUGGCGUGGUAGGGUUCCGUCGCGCCCUAGACUCCGGUAUGAAUUCGUCUCUGGCACUCACCAUCUUCUGUAGGGCGCUUAUGGCACGGGUGGUUUUUGAGUUUGGGCACGGGGCGCCGGCUUUGCCAAUUGCAGGCGAAG